Long non-coding RNA from Pundamilia nyererei, 1256 nucleotides. RefSeq lists it as uncharacterized. NCBI's taxonomy places the organism in Eukaryota, Metazoa, Chordata, Actinopteri, Cichliformes, Cichlidae. The record is from RefSeq and is a predicted model, not a curated record. The transcript is spliced from 2 exons.
UCGGUAACGUCAGGAGUGGAACAUCUGUGACCGCGCGCUUUGUUGCUGCCCGGACCAGACUGCAGACGCACCGUUGCUAUUGGUUUCAACGGAAGCUCCAGACGCUCUGCGGCUAAAGGCUAACCAUGCUAACGUCAGCAGGGCUGAAACACGGUGAAAUGUCACAGCUUAUUUCUGAUGUUUUCAGCUUCGGCGUGUAUUGACGUUGACGUCAUCGUCGCGGGGAGCUCGUGCUGUGACCUGAUCCCUGAUGAGCUAACUGAGGCUAAGAACUAGCAGCGGGAUUAGCCGGAGGCUGCGGCUUCAGCAUUCUGAGCAGGAGCUGUUAGCCGCUCGGCCAGCGGAGCUCAGCCCGGGAUGAGGCGCUGCAGCCGGUGGGGACGACAGCAGGAGGGCGGCCAAGCUGAUGGAGGUGUGAGGUUAUGACGGGGUCAGACUUUGUCCUGAGACAGUCCAAUCUGGACCAAGUCGCACUGGUCCUUGGAGCGCCGACGCCAUGUCAGACAUGUCUGAUCCAGCUGUCGUAGAGGGACAGGCUCCUCACUGUUCUGCUCGGCCCCCCCUGGCAGAGAAGGCGCUGUCCGAGGUCUUCGGGCGGCUGCGGUAUCGCGACACGUCACUGCUCAUCUGGCAGCAGCAGCAGCUGGAAGCAGCACCGCCCUCCACCUACCUGAGCCGCAGCCAAUCAGCCUGGUACAGUAACUAUGGCAACCAGGCAGUCCUGGUCCGAGACAGGAGGGGUGCGGACGAGGGGCGGUCCCGGAUCUGCAGCAUCAUGUGACGCAGAGCAGUUCAGUUUGGUCACUAACAAACAUUUUGUUUUUAAUUUAGAGAACUGUCCAAUCAGAGAGAAGCAUUAAGAUCCCCGCCCCUCUCUCACCCACUGACUGCAGACAAGAAUAAAACGAACAGUAUUAAUUGUCAGCUUGGCGAGCUCCAGCGUCAGCUCUGAUGACCAGUUUAAUGGACUUCCUGCCCUACAGGGGGCGUCCCGUGUCAGUAUCUAACCCUAGUGUCCUCCAUUUUGAUUUGGGGAAUGAAGCCAGCAGCACCACACUGAAACCAUCACCUUCAUCCAGCAUGCCACCAAAAGACAUUGUCCUGUUUGAAACCCUUAAGUGACCAAUCAGCACGCAGUUACAGCACACUGGUGCUUUCUGGGUAAAAUCAUUGUCACUGAGAGAAAUUGAAGGUAACGAGUCUUCAGACGUGUUACUGAUUUAUGGAAACGACGAAUAAAAUGUUUUCUUGUUUUA